Molecule: long non-coding RNA, 1843 nt
Organism: Esox lucius (northern pike)
Lineage: Eukaryota; Metazoa; Chordata; Actinopteri; Esociformes; Esocidae
Source: Ensembl
AAUUGGACCUCUUAUUUGAGUUACAAUUAAAUAUAGCUUACACAUUAAUAUUUCCACCGCUCGUGGUGCAUGUAUUGAUCGAUUAUAUAGCUCUUCUUUGUGUAUUAUAGUGUUGUAUUAUAGUGUUGUUUUAGUUUUAUUUUGUACAGAAAGCUUGUUGAACUGUUUAACUGGUGUACUGUUUACAACCUGGAGUAAAUAUGGACAACUCAAUGUCCAUCCAAAGAUCUUGGGUAGAGAGUUACCUUGAUGAGCAGAGAAAGUUCAUCAGAGAGUUCCUGACUCUCCAGGAACAAGGUGUACUUCACCCAUACCUCAGUGUCAAUCACAUGAGGAGAUGGAUCAUCUCUGAUACAAGGAAGGCCUUCCUGAAAAGAUUUCAAGAAAUGGCAGAAGGGACAAACAUCCACCUCAUUGAGCUGAUGUUGAAGGUGAAAGCUCACAAUACACUCCUUGAGAUCGAGCAGGGAGUUCGUAGAGAGCUGAGCGUUACCCAAUGCCAACAUCACCAGUCUUCAGUAGAGGCAACCAUGGAGGGGCAGCAGCUCCUGACCAACAAGCCCAAGCCAUUGGUUCCUUCCCAUGAGCCUCUGGGGACUACAGCUGUGAUGAGUGGUGAUGUUGGAGGUGGUCUGUCAGACAAACAGGCCCAACCUGAGGUCAGGUCAGAGGUGAUGCUCCAGGUGAAGCCCCUCUGCCAAACUCCGGUGGGGGUCCGGGGUUGCCUGGUGGACAGUGUGAUUAAUGGAGAAGACCCGGAGAUUAAUGAUGAGGUCCUUGUGGCAGAACCAAUCCCCACUCCCCUCUUAUCCACAGCAGUGAUAGUCAGGGAGGUCCAGGAGUGCCUGGUGGACAAGGAGAAGACGGUUGAGGUUCUGGACCAGAGCAUUUCUCCAAGGAUCCAAAAGGCCCUGAGAGACAUUGAGGCCAUGGUGAACUCCAGAAAGAAGUCCAAGGUCGUGCCAAAGCAGCUUGUGGUACUUGGUUUCACAAUCAAGCACAUUGUCACUCAGGUGCUGUCUCACUUAUAUCAACCAGCCUUUCAGGAAGAAGUCUGUUUGGAGACAGCUGCUAUCGUGGACGACACCCAAGCUCUUCUGUGGUCUAUUCCCUGGGUUCAAGUCACAGAGGAGGAGGAGCUGUCUAACUCCCAGUGCAUUGAUACCUCUGAGGUGACCAAGGCUGUCAUUAACACCCUGGAUAAGGUACUAGGCCCCAAACCACUGGUAGGAGCUCUGGGAAUAGGCUCACAGAUAUUGAGCAGGUACAUUGUUCAUCUUGUUGGCCUGUCCAUUGCUAAGACAGUACCUGACGUUUACGCUGCCAACGAAGAGGAGAGACAUAUUAGCCAGGAUAUGGUGAACAUCUGUCCUCUACCUGCUAAAUAUGUCAUCAGUGGAGAAUUAUUAGGUGACUUUGUGGUGAAGUUUAUGCUUCACCUUCACCCAAUGAACAGACUCGGCUCCAAGCAGCUCAGCCAACAGGCUCUCCUCUUACUGGUGGUUAAAAUGGCCUCAGUAGCUUUUCAUGUCUUGAGGAAGAUCCCGGGUGUUUCUGUGGAUGAACAGCUGUGUGCCCCCAUCUGCAACAUAAGACAGACGGUAUUACACAUGCAGAGUGCCUUGGUCCAUAAGUUUGGCACAACAAUCCAAAUAAAGCAUAUGAUGGCUAAUAAGGACCCGCUAGUCAUUUCCACAAUACCCCAGGCCAUAUGUGAGGGAAUCUUGGCUGUAUACAAGGGCAUCUCUGUAACCCAUCCACUUCAAGUCACUGGCCCACAUCGUCCAAUGGCCAAGAGCUAUGAAAAGGCUAUGGAGACAAAGUUGUUUGCAGUAACUCUACC